This 396-nucleotide ribosomal RNA is filed under the name uncultured bacterium. RNAcentral's name for it is "bacterial SSU rRNA". It matches the Rfam family "Bacterial small subunit ribosomal RNA", at positions 358 to 771 of the family's 1533-position model. The record is from RNAcentral.
GGAAUAUUGGACAAUGGGGGCAACCCUGAUCCAGCAAUGCCGCGUGAGUGAUGAAGGCCUUCGGGUUGUAAAGCUCUUUCGCCCACGACGAGGAUGACGGUAGUGGGAGAAGAAGCCCCGGCUAACUUCGUGCCAGCAGCCGGGGUAAUACGAAGGGGGCUAGCGUUGUUCGGAAUGGCUGGGCGUAAAGGGGGCGGAGGCGGCGCAUCAAGUCGGGCGUGAAAGCCCCGGGCUCAACCUGGGAACGGCGUCCGGGACUGAUGUGCUGGAGUUCGGGAGAGGAGAGUGGAAUUCCCAGUGUAGAGGUGAAAUUCGUAGAUAUUGGGAAGAACACCGAUGGCGAAGGCAGCUCUCUGGACCGACACUGACGCUGAGGCGCGAAAGCGUGGGGAGCAA